RNAcentral lists this ribosomal RNA (253 nucleotides) under uncultured bacterium. Its description in RNAcentral is "partial 16S ribosomal RNA". It matches the Rfam family "Bacterial small subunit ribosomal RNA", at positions 524 to 776 of the family's 1533-position model. The record is from RNAcentral.
UACGUAGGGGGCGAGCGUUGUCCGGAUUCAUUGGGCGUAAAGAGCUCGUAGGCGGCCAUUCAAGUCGGAUGUGAAAACUCAGGGCUCAACCCUGAGCCUGCAUUCGAUACUGGGUGGCUAGAGUCUGGUAGGGGGAUCUGGAAUUCCUGGUGUAGCGGUGGAAUGCGCAGAUAUCAGGAGGAACACCGGUGGCGAAGGCGGGAUCCUGGGCCAGUACUGACGCUGAGGAGCGAAAGCGUGGGGAGCAAACAGG